GGCCGCGGUAAUACGGAGGGUGCAAGCGUUGUCCGGAAUUAUUGGGCGUAAAGCGCACGUAGGCGGUUCUUUAAGUCUCGCUGUGAAAGCCCGGGGCUCAACCCCGGGAGGCCAGGGGAUACUGCUGGACUGGAGACAGGCAGAGGCUGGUGGAAUUCCGGGUGUAGCGGUGGAAUGCGUAGAGAUCCGGAGGAACACCGGAGGCGAAGGCGGCCAGCUGGGCCUGAUCUGACGCUGAGGUGCGAAAGCGUGGGGAGCGAAC
Molecule: ribosomal RNA, 262 nt
Filed under: uncultured bacterium
Lineage: Bacteria
Description: partial 16S ribosomal RNA
Rfam family: Bacterial small subunit ribosomal RNA
Source: RNAcentral